CUCUUCUCUGAUGUGCUCCUUGUGACCAAGCCCCAGCGCAAGGCGGACAAAGCCAAGGUCAUCCGCCCCCCUCUCAUGCUGGAGAAGCUCGUGUGCCAACCCCUGCGAGACCCCAACAGCUUCCUGCUGAUCCACCUCACUGAAUUCCAGUGUGUCUCCAGCGCCCUCCUUGUGCACUGUCCCAGUCCUACAGACCGUGCCCAGUGGCUGGAGAAGACCCAGCAGGCCCAGAGAGGGAGGCAGAGCCUCCAUCAUC
This 256-nucleotide small RNA is filed under the name Pan troglodytes (chimpanzee). RNAcentral describes it as "processed transcript". The record is from RNAcentral. Lineage: Eukaryota; Metazoa; Chordata; Mammalia; Primates; Hominidae.